Molecule: ribosomal RNA, 218 nt
Filed under: uncultured bacterium
Lineage: Bacteria
Description: partial 16S ribosomal RNA
Rfam family: Bacterial small subunit ribosomal RNA
Source: RNAcentral
UAACCUACCCAUCAGAGGGGGAUAACACUUGGAAACAGGUGCUAAUACCGCAUAACAGUUUAUGCCGCAUGGCAUAAGAGUGAAAGGCGCUUUCGGGUGUCGCUGAUGGAUGGACCCGCGGUGCAUUAGCUAGUUGGUGAGGUAACGGCUCACCAAGGCCACGAUGCAUAGCCGACCUGAGAGGGUGAUCGGCCACACUGGGAUGAGACACGGCCCAG